AGUGGGAAGUAUUCUGGAUACCUUGGCAAGACCCAUGGGUCUUGCGUCAUAGCCUGAGAGAUAAAUCCUACAAUGAUUUAGGGGUCUGCCAUACUUAUGAAGAUUUUAGGGACUCAAUGGUUUGGGCUAUGCAGGGAUAUCCCCUUUAAGAUGCCAAGAACCUGGACAUCCUCCACCAGAACAAUCUCACAACAUGUCAAGUUUCCAGAGAUUGCUACUGCCUUCUUAAGCAGAUUUUCAAUGACCUAAGUUCCACUGGAAGUAGACCUAACAUAACUAGGAUGAACAGGAAACCUCUGAAUGUGAAAGUGAACACUAUUAAUACUUACAUGAAGGCAACAGGCAUGAACUGGAACAACCUUGGCCAUGCUGGGACGUAUGUUCACCCUAAGCAAAGUCUCAGGGCCUCUCCAUGUGUUUUCUCGAGCAAUGUGUUUGGUCUUCUGGAAUUAUGAUUCAUGGAUUCAAGAGACCACGGUAGAAGCUUCUAAUCCUCUUAAAAAGCAAGACUGAUCAUGGGAAACUGUCCUGUCCACUAGUACAUUAUUUCAAUCAGAGGAAGCUACUCUCUGAUUUGUAACCUACUUCUGUCUCCAGGACAACCAUAAGACCAAAGGACUCCUUGGACACCUAGUCAGGAGGGUGGUGAGUUGAACUGAGCAAGCUUGAGCAUCUCAAACUGAAGUGGACACUUGCGCUUUAUACAGAGUAAGGCCCAAAUUGAAUUAACCUGGAGUGAGUCUGCAACAAGCCUAGCGUCUGCAUUUCUAUAACUGAUCUCAGCUAACACUGGAGCUACUUAAAUUCCCAAUGAUUUUAGAAAACUAUUUUUUUUAAAGUGUGUGAUUUGAAGGUAAAUGAACCUAUUCCAAUUUAACUGCUUUAUUUUUGUGGUUGCAUAUAUAAUCAUAUUUAAGCAAUUUAAAAUCCAAACUCCCUUUUGGAGCUGUUUUAUUUUCUGAAGG
This 965-nucleotide long non-coding RNA is filed under the name Homo sapiens (human). Its description in RNAcentral is "HSALNT0322813". Lineage: Eukaryota; Metazoa; Chordata; Mammalia; Primates; Hominidae. The record is from RNAcentral.